UACGUAGGGGGCUAGCGUUGUCCGGAUUUAUUGGGCGUAAAGAGCGUGUAGGCGGCCAGGUAGGUCUGCUGUGAAAACUCGAGGCUCAACCUCGAGCUGUCGGCGGAAACCAUCUGGCUAGAGUCCGGAAGAGGAGAGUGGAAUUCCUGGUGUAGCGGUGAAAUGCGUAGAUAUCAGGAGGAACACCGGUGGUGUAGACGGCUCACUGGACCAUAACUGACGCUGGGACACGAAAGCGUGGGUAGCAAACAGG
This 253-nucleotide ribosomal RNA is filed under the name uncultured bacterium. Its description in RNAcentral is "partial 16S ribosomal RNA". It matches the Rfam family "Bacterial small subunit ribosomal RNA", at positions 524 to 776 of the family's 1533-position model. The record is from RNAcentral.